Molecule: long non-coding RNA, 212 nt
Filed under: Sorghum bicolor (sorghum)
Lineage: Eukaryota; Viridiplantae; Streptophyta; Magnoliopsida; Poales; Poaceae
Description: long non-coding RNA (SBIC_LNC006646)
Source: RNAcentral
AUAUAAAAGAUAAGAAAAGAUAAAAGUAUAGAUACAAGCUAGUAGUAAGACUCAAGGUUAUCUCAGCAAACCGUCUUUCUUCCCGGCAACGGCGCCAGAAAUGCUUGUUGAUAUUUGGGAACGCAAUAAGGAAUUGAUCCGCAAGCGCACGGAUAUCGGUGAGCACUUCACCCGGGAGGUUAUCCAGAGUAUCGUAUUUAUUUUUUUACCAC